GCUGAUGAUGAUAGAAGGCCAACAAAUGGAGUUGUAGAUGGGUCCAAGUCCUUGAUAUUCAAGGAGAACCUACUUGGAAUUACCUCUGCAUUUCAAUGGCAAUACUGGCCUUUCACUGAGGC
Picea glauca (white spruce) is the source of this 122-nucleotide non-coding RNA. NCBI's taxonomy places the organism in Eukaryota, Viridiplantae, Streptophyta, Pinopsida, Pinales, Pinaceae. The record is from Rfam.